GCCGGCGUAGCUCAACUGGCCAGAGUGCCUGACUGUGGAUCAGGAGGUUUCGGGUUCAAGUCCCGACGCCGGUACAA
This 77-nucleotide transfer RNA is filed under the name Bacteroidota bacterium. RNAcentral describes it as "Bacteroidetes bacterium (marine metagenome) tRNA-His". It matches the Rfam family "tRNA". From Rfam's summary of the family: Transfer RNA (tRNA) molecules are approximately 80 nucleotides in length. Lineage: Bacteria; Pseudomonadati; Bacteroidota. The record is from RNAcentral.